AGAGUUUGAUCAUGGCUCAGAUUGAACGCUGGCGGCAUGCCUUACACAUGCAAGUCGAACGGCAGCACGGGGGCAACCCUGGUGGCGAGUGGCGAACGGGUGAGUAAUACAUCGGAACGUGUCCUGUAGUGGGGGAUAGCCCGGCGAAAGCCGGAUUAAUACCGCAUACGAUCUACGGAUGAAAGCGGGGGAUCUUCGGACCUCGCGCUGGAGGGGCGGCCGAUGGCAGAUUAGCUAGUUGGUGGGGUAAAGGCCUACCAAGGCGACGAUCUGUAGCUGGUCUGAGAGGACGACCAGCCACACUGGGACUGAGACACGGCCCAGACUCCUACGGGAGGCAGCAGUGGGGAAUUUUGGACAAUGGGGGCAACCCUGAUCCAGCAAUGCCGCGUGUGUGAAGAAGGCCUUCGGGUUGUAAAGCACUUUUGUCCGGAAAGAAAACCUCUGGGUUAAUACCCCGGGGGGAUGACGGUACCGGAAGAAUAAGCACCGGCUAACUACGUGCCAGCAGCCGCGGUAAUACGUAGGGUGCGAGCGUUAAUCGGAAUUACUGGGCGUAAAGCGUGCGCAGGCGGUUCGUUAAGACAGAUGUGAAAUCCCCGGGCUUAACCUGGGAACUGCAUUUGUGACUGGCGGGCUAGAGUAUGGCAGAGGGGGGUAGAAUUCCACGUAGCAGUGAAAUGCGUAGAGAUGUGGAGGAAUACCGAUGGCGAAGGCAGCCCCCUGGGCCAAUACUGACGCUCAUGCACGAAAGCGUGGGGAGCAAACAGGAUUAGAUACCCUAGUAGUCC
RNAcentral lists this ribosomal RNA (791 nucleotides) under uncultured bacterium. RNAcentral's name for it is "bacterial SSU rRNA". It matches the Rfam family "Bacterial small subunit ribosomal RNA", at positions 8 to 796 of the family's 1533-position model. The record is from RNAcentral.